CUACUUUCGUCAUGAAAGAAGUUUAAAAAGGCGGCGUAAGCUGUCGCUAAAAGGGGAUGGACCUGCGAUGCAUUAGCUAGUUGGUAAGGUAACGGCUUACCAAGGCGAUGAUGCAUAGCCCGAGUUGAGAGACUGAUCGGCCACAUUGGGACUGAGACACGGCCCAAACUCCUACGGGAGGCAGCAGUAGGGAAUCUUCCACAAUGGACGCAAGUCUGAUGGAGCAACGCCGCGUGAGUGAAGAAGGUUUUCGGAUCGUAAAGCUCUGUUGUUGGUGAAGAAGGAUAGAGGUAGUAACUGGCCUUUAUUUGACGGUAAUCAACCAGAAAGUCACGGCUAACUACGUGCCAGCAGCCGCGGUAAU
Molecule: ribosomal RNA, 364 nt
Filed under: uncultured Lactobacillus sp.
Lineage: Bacteria; Bacillati; Bacillota; Bacilli; Lactobacillales; Lactobacillaceae
Description: bacterial SSU rRNA
Rfam family: Bacterial small subunit ribosomal RNA
Source: RNAcentral